GCAUGAAAAAGGAAUCAUGGCGAUUUUCCUAAAAGACCUUUUCGUGGAACCUGUCUCUACAGAUUGGCUUAAAUUUGCCGUCAUUUCAAAUACGCUUUGUGUGUUGUGAAUUUGGUAAAACAAAUCCCGGGAGCUACGAUUUUACGAGAAAUUAUACCCUUAAAAAAACACUAGAAGAAACAUCAGAAGAUUGAGGCAAAGAAAUGUCUUCUGUUCCAAUCAGUACAGCUUACGUUGAGCGAAUACGUAAAAGUGCAGCGGCGAACGGUAACAAAAGAGGAUCUUUUAAACAGAGAGAAGUUGCUGGAAUGGAAGAUAAUCGCCGCGCGACGAAGCCUCACUUCAAUCAUUAUCUUGCGGAUGCGCAAAUGAAGUGGAAAGCCACAACAAAGAAAUUGUUUUCGUUUAUGACAUGAACAGGACUUGGAUUCGUCUUCGAACGGUUUUAUUUUCCAUUUAAUGUAACAACAUUUUGACGAUCUCUGAGGAGGACCCGACCUCUUCAGUAUAAAUAUGGCGACAAAAAAGCAUCGGAUUAACUACCUAAUCUACAUUUUAAAAUUGAAAAUUUGCUUGCUAUAGGUAAUGCAAGAGCGAAAGUGAACUCAAAUGUUACCUCAAGAGAAAACUAAAAAAUUCAUAUUGGUAUUAACCCGAAUUUAUCGCGGUUGGUAAACAUCGAAAUGGGAAGGGUUUGCUUUCCCUGUUUGUGCGGGGCGGAAUGACUGCCGUGAUCUCUGCGCUGGGAAUCUUCUGCAGUGGUAUCAACCCAAAUUUGGCGCGGUUUGUAAACAUCUAUUGAUCACAGAGGAGAAAGAUUUGUAUCCCCCAUUUGUGUCAGCGAGAUAAUUGCCAGGAGUCGUGCUGGGAUCCUUAGGCAUUUAAAUAAAAUGUCUCAGUCUAUGUUACUCAGUUUUCUGUUUGUUUUUAAGUAUAAGUAUAAGUAUAAGGCAAGUUACGAGCGCAAUUUUUGCCGAAAGGAAAUUGAAAAGAAGGAAAUGUUAUCCAUGCCACAAUUUACUUGCAUGAUUUUUUAACAAGGAGUGAAUCAAUCUUUACUUAGGUUAGAAUUUUGUUGUAUGACUGGUAGAAAACGGAAGAAAGCGCGAUCUAGAUACAUUAUGUUUUAGAGAAAAACUCACUAAUAGCUGAUGAAGAUUUGUUACAGGCAUUAAGGUUUAUGCUUAUCAUAAUAUAUGAUAGGAACCACUUUUUCUUCUAAUCUAGAGGUGUUCGAAUUUUUUCGUCGGCAAGACUGCUCAUAACUGAUGCCCAUCAAAGAUAAAAUUUUGUUAGCUGCAACGGUUGAAUAAAUCAUACAUAAUUUGUA
Long non-coding RNA from Pocillopora verrucosa, 1330 nucleotides. RefSeq lists it as uncharacterized. The record is from RefSeq and is a predicted model, not a curated record. Lineage: Eukaryota; Metazoa; Cnidaria; Anthozoa; Scleractinia; Pocilloporidae.